RNAcentral lists this ribosomal RNA (440 nucleotides) under uncultured bacterium. RNAcentral's name for it is "bacterial SSU rRNA". It matches the Rfam family "Bacterial small subunit ribosomal RNA", at positions 958 to 1397 of the family's 1533-position model. The record is from RNAcentral.
AACGCGAAGAACCUUACCUGGGCUCGAACGGCUUCUUAACGGGGGUGGAAACACCCUUAUCCCGCAAGGGAGUGGAGUCGAGGUGCUGCAUGGCUGUCGUCAGCUCGUGUCGUGAGAUGUUGGGUUAAGUCCCGCAACGAGCGCAACCCUUACCCCCAGUUGCCAUCAUUUAGUUGGGCACUCUGGUGGAACCGCCUCGGAUAACGGGGAGGAAGGUGGGGAUGACGUCAAGUCCUCAUGGCCUUUAUGUCCAGGGCUACACACGUGCUACAAUGGCCGGUACAAACCGUCGCAAACCCGUGAGGGGGAGCUAAUCGGAAAAAGCCGGCCUCAGUUCGGAUCGUAGUCUGCAACUCGACUACGUGAAGCUGGAAUCGCUAGUAAUCGCGGAUCAGAACGCCGCGGUGAAUACGUUCCCGGGCCUUGUACACACCGCACGA